AAAAUAUGUUAGGAACAAAAUAUGACUUCUAAUCAUAUCUUGAGCCGUUCAAUUCGGCUCAUAUUUUU
This 68-nucleotide transfer RNA is filed under the name Ridgeia piscesae. RNAcentral's name for it is "tRNA-Ser". Lineage: Eukaryota; Metazoa; Annelida; Polychaeta; Sabellida; Siboglinidae. The record is from RNAcentral.